CAAGUCGAACGCGAAAGGGGCUUCGGCCCUGAGUAGAGUGGCGAACGGGUGAGUAACACGUGGGUGACCUACCUUCGAGUGGGGGAUAACGUCCCGAAAGGGACGCUAAUACCGCAUGACAUCCUGCUUUUGAAAAGGCGGAGAUCAAAGCCGGGGAUCGCAAGACCUGGCGCUUGAAGAGGGGCUCGCGUCCGAUUAGCUAGUUGGUGAGGUAACGGCUCACCAAGGCGACGAUCGGUGGCCGGCCUGAGAGGGCGGACGGCCACACUGGGACUGAGACACGGCCCAGACUCCUACGGGAGGCAGCAGUGGGGAAUUGUUCGCAAUGGGCGCAAGCCUGACGACGCAACGCCGCGUGGAGGAUGAAGGUCUUCGGAUUGUAAACUCCUGUUGCCCGGGACGAAUGGCUCCGACCUAACACGUCGGGGUGUGACGGUACCGGGUGAGGAAGCCCCGGCUAACUCUGUGCCAGCAGCCGCGGUAAUACAGAGGGGGCAAGCGUUGUUCGGAAUUACUGGGCGUAAAGGGCGCGUAGGCGGCCUUCUAAGUCGAACGUGAAAUCCCUGGGCUCAACCCAGGAACUGCGUCCGAUACUGGGAGGCUUGAAUCCGGGAGAGGGAUGUGGAAUUCCGGGUGUAGCGGUGAAAUGCGUAGAUAUCUGGAGGAACACCGGUGGCGAAGGCGGCAUCCUGGACCGGUAUUGACGCUGAUGCGCGAAAGCCAGGGGAGCAAACGGGAUUAGAUACCCCGGUAGUCCUGGCCCUAAACGAUGAAUGCUUGGUGUGGCGGGUAUCGAUCCC
Molecule: ribosomal RNA, 800 nt
Filed under: uncultured Bacillota bacterium
Lineage: Bacteria; Bacillati; Bacillota
Description: bacterial SSU rRNA
Rfam family: Bacterial small subunit ribosomal RNA
Source: RNAcentral